RNAcentral lists this long non-coding RNA (421 nucleotides) under Struthio camelus australis. RNAcentral's name for it is "lncRNA (ENSSCUG00000018082.1)". The record is from RNAcentral. Lineage: Eukaryota; Metazoa; Chordata; Aves; Struthioniformes; Struthionidae.
AUGCCUCUUCAGGUCAGGCAGCUAGAGCAGAGGGAAGACAGUGACGCAAGGGCUGGGCUCAGCCUGCUCCCGUAUCUCUGUGACUUACUGUGCAGCAGAUCUCAAAAUCCUGCAGAAUCUCCUCCUCCACUUGACAGAAACGUUCCCAUGGAGCUGGCAAGGACAUGGUGCUCCCACGCCAUGCUGAGGCUCGUCUUCCACCAGCAGGCCAGGAACCAAAGGCCUGAACAAACAAAGACUCAGUGGUUGGAGCCAACCCCGGCACCGUCGCACCAUCCCCUGGGACAGAGCCACGCAGGCUCCUCGAGACCAAGCUCAGCCGAACGCUCUGCUGAGGCCUGACGAACCAGCGUGACUUUACCGUGCCGGUUUGCAGAGCCGGGGGCGGCUGCCGGGCCGCGUUCCCACACCUGUGGGGCCA